CGGCCGCGCCUCAGGGACCUGCCUGCGCUGCUGCGGAGCGGGCUCACGCUGCGGAGGAAGCGGAGCGCCGCCGGGGCCCGGACUCUCUCAAGAAGAAUUUCCAAUCCAUACCUUGACCAUAGUCCUUCUCAGGUAUGAAACUGUUUUCUCAAUCCUUCUGUACUUUCUGUAUUGGUGACUGAAAAAUGCUAGUGGAGAAUGCUUGUGUUUGAGAUGCCCUGACCUGGAGUUUUGC
RNAcentral lists this long non-coding RNA (235 nucleotides) under Rattus norvegicus (Norway rat). RNAcentral's name for it is "long non-coding RNA NONRATT024733". Lineage: Eukaryota; Metazoa; Chordata; Mammalia; Rodentia; Muridae. The record is from RNAcentral.